Molecule: ribosomal RNA, 301 nt
Filed under: uncultured bacterium
Lineage: Bacteria
Description: partial 16S ribosomal RNA
Rfam family: Bacterial small subunit ribosomal RNA
Source: RNAcentral
CAGUAGCCGCGGGAAUACGAAGGGGGCUAGCGUUGUUCGGAAUUACUGGGCGUAAACCGCACGUAGGCGGAUUGUUAAGUUAGGGGUGAAAUCCCAGGGCUCAACCCUGGAACUGCCUUUAAUACUGGCAAUCUCGAGUCCGAGAGAGGUGAGUGGAAUUCCGAGUGUAGAGGUGAAAUUCGUAGAUAUUCGGAGGAACACCAGUGGCGAAGGCGGCUCACUGGCUCGGUACUGACGCUGAGGUGCGAAAGCGUGGGGAGCAAACAGGAUUAGAUACCCCAGUAGUCCCUGUCUCUUAUAC